UAGCCGUAAACGAUACUCGCUAGGUGUCGGCCACGGUGCGACCGUUGUCGGUGCCGUAGGGAAGCCGUGAAGCGAGCCACCUGGGAAGUACGGCCGCAAGGCUGAAACUUAAAGGAAUUGGCGGGGGAGGCACCACAACGGGUGGAGCUUGCGGUUUAAUUUGGAUUCAACGCCGGAAAUCUUACCGGGACCGACAGCGGAAUGAUUGCCGGGCUGAAGACCCUGCAUGACCAGCUGAGAGGAGGUGCAUGGCUAGUCGUGU
RNAcentral lists this ribosomal RNA (262 nucleotides) under uncultured archaeon. Its description in RNAcentral is "partial 16S ribosomal RNA". It matches the Rfam family "Archaeal small subunit ribosomal RNA", at positions 748 to 1006 of the family's 1478-position model. The record is from RNAcentral.